UACGAAGGGGGCAAGCGUUGUUCGGAAUUACUGGGCGUAAAGGGCGCGUAGGCGGCGGAUUUAGUCAGGCGUGAAAGCCCCGGGCUCAACCUGGGAAAUGCGCUUGAUACUGAUCUGCUUGAGUUCCGGAGAGGAUGGUGGAAUUCCCAGUGUAGAGGUGAAAUUCGUAGAUAUUGGGAAGAACACCGAUGGCGAAGGCAGCCAUCUGGACGGACACUGACGCUGAGGCGCGAAAGCGUGGGGAGCAAACAGG
This 253-nucleotide ribosomal RNA is filed under the name uncultured bacterium. RNAcentral's name for it is "partial 16S ribosomal RNA". It matches the Rfam family "Bacterial small subunit ribosomal RNA", at positions 524 to 776 of the family's 1533-position model. The record is from RNAcentral.